GAUGAACGCUGGCGGCGUGCCUAAUACAUGCAAGUCGAGCGAACAGAUGAGGAGCUUGCUCCUCUGACGUUAGCGGCGGACGGGUGAGUAACACGUGGAUAACCUACCUAUAAGACUGGGAUAACUUCGGGAAACCGGAGCUAAUACCGGAUAAUAUAUUGAACCGCAUGGUUCAAUAGUGAAAGACGGUUUUGCUGUCACUUAUAGAUGGAUCCGCGCCGCAUUAGCUAGUUGGUAAGGUAACGGCUUACCAAGGCAACGAUGCGUAGCCGACCUGAGAGGGUGAUCGGCCACACUGGAACUUAGACACGGUCCAGACUCCUACGGGAGGCAGCAGUAGGGAAUCUUCCGCAAUGGGCGAAAGCCUGACGGAGCAACGCCGCGUGAGUGAUGAAGGUCUUCGGAUCGUAAAACUCUGUUAUUAGGGAAGAACGAAUGUGUAAGUAACUAUGCACGUCUUGACGGUACCUAAUCAGAAAGCCACGGCUAACUACGUG
RNAcentral lists this ribosomal RNA (497 nucleotides) under uncultured bacterium. RNAcentral describes it as "partial 16S ribosomal RNA". It matches the Rfam family "Bacterial small subunit ribosomal RNA", at positions 28 to 507 of the family's 1533-position model. The record is from RNAcentral.